GUGAAUCAUCAAAUCUUUGAACGCAAAUUGCACUUUCUGGUAUUCCGGAAAGUAUGCCUGUUUGAGGAUCAGUUAAAUAAAAAUCUGUGUUAUUGCUGCCUGUCAUGGUUACUCUGCGAAAUUAGAUCGUCUUACCUUCGGUUAAGUGACUUAAAAUUUUUUCAUGUUUUUCUAACUUAUUUAAAUCAC
Molecule: unclassified non-coding RNA, 189 nt
Filed under: Glomus sp.
Lineage: Eukaryota; Fungi; Glomeromycota; Glomeromycetes; Glomerales; Glomeraceae
Description: partial contains 5.8S ribosomal RNA and internal transcribed spacer 2
Rfam family: 5.8S ribosomal RNA (bases 1-71)
Source: RNAcentral